GGAGAGAUGGGUGAGUGGCUGAAACCAGCAGUUUGCUAAACUGCCGUACCUCUAAAGGGUACCGGGGGUUCGAAUCCCCCUCUCUCCGCGA
RNAcentral lists this transfer RNA (91 nucleotides) under Rufibacter tibetensis. Its description in RNAcentral is "tRNA-Ser". It matches the Rfam family "tRNA". Rfam says of the family: Transfer RNA (tRNA) molecules are approximately 80 nucleotides in length. Their secondary structure includes four short double-helical elements and three loops (D, anti-codon, and T loops). The record is from RNAcentral. RNAcentral also lists the same sequence under 4 other names. Lineage: Bacteria; Pseudomonadati; Bacteroidota; Cytophagia; Cytophagales; Hymenobacteraceae.